RNAcentral lists this ribosomal RNA (529 nucleotides) under uncultured bacterium. RNAcentral describes it as "partial 16S ribosomal RNA". It matches the Rfam family "Bacterial small subunit ribosomal RNA", at positions 355 to 874 of the family's 1533-position model. The record is from RNAcentral.
UGGGGAAUAUUGCACAAUGGGCGCAAGCCUGAUGCAGCCAUGCCGCGUGUGUGAAGAAGGCCUUCGGGUUGUAAAGCACUUUCAGCGAGGAGGAAGGUGGUGAGCUUAAUACGCUCAUCAAUUGACGUUACUCGCAGAAGAAGCACCGGCUAACUCCGUGCCAGCAGCCGCGGUAAUACGGAGGGUGCAAGCGUUAAUCGGAAUUACUGGGCGUAAAGCGCACGCAGGCGGUUUGUUAAGUCAGAUGUGAAAUCCCCGGGCUCAACCUGGGAACUGCAUUUGAAACUGGCAAGCUAGAGUCUCGUAGAGGGGGGUAGAAUUCCAGGUGUAGCGGUGAAAUGCGUAGAGAUCUGGAGGAAUACCGGUGGCGAAGGCGGCCCCCCUGGACGAAGACUGACGCUCAGGUGCGAAAGCGUGGGGCAGCAAACAGGAUUAGAUACCCUGGUAGUCCACGCUGUAAACGAUGUCGAUUUGGAGGUUGUGCCCUUGAGGCGUGGCUUCCGGAGCUAACGCGUUAAAUCGACCGCCU